AGUAAUGUCUGGGAAACUGCCUGAUGGAGGGGGAUAACUACUGGAAACGGUAGCUAAUACCGCAUAAUGUCUGCGGACCAAAGCGGGGGACCUCCGGGCCUCGCGCCAUCAGAUGAACCCAUAUGGGAUUAGCUUGUAGGUGGGGUAAUGGCUCACCUAGGCGACGAUCCCUAGCUGGUCUGAGAGGAUGACCAGCCACACUGGAACUGAGACACGGUCCAG
This 222-nucleotide ribosomal RNA is filed under the name uncultured bacterium. RNAcentral describes it as "partial 16S ribosomal RNA". It matches the Rfam family "Bacterial small subunit ribosomal RNA", at positions 109 to 334 of the family's 1533-position model. The record is from RNAcentral.